AGGGUUCGAUUCUGGCUCAGGAUGAACGCUGGCGGCGUGCUUAACACAUGCAAGUCGAACGGGAUCCCAGGAGCUUGCUCCUGGGUGAGAGUGGCGAACGGGUGAGUAAUGCGUGACCGACCUGCCCCAUACACCGGAAUAGCUCCUGGAAACGGGUGGUAAUGCCGGAUGCUCCAGUUGGAUGCAUGUCCUUCUGGGAAAGAUUCAUCGGUAUGGGAUGGGGUCGCGUCCUAUCAGCUUGAUGGCGGGGUAACGGCCCACCAUGGCUUCGACGGGUAGCCGGCCUGAGAGGGCGACCGGCCACAUUGGGACUGAGAUACGGCCCAGACUCCUACGGGAGGCAGCAGUGGGGAAUAUUGCACAAUGGGCGCAAGCCUGAUGCAGCGACGCCGCGUGCGGGAUGACGGCCUUCGGGUUGUAAACCGCUUUUGACUGGGAGCAAGCCCUUCGGGGUGAGUGUACCUUUCGAAUAAGCACCGGCUAACUACGUGCCAGCAGCCGCGGUAAUACGUAGGGUGCAAGCGUUAUCCGGAAUUAUUGGGCGUAAAGGGCUCGUAGGCGGUUCGUCGCGUCCGGUGUGAAAGUCCAUCGCUUAACGGUGGAUCCGCGCCGGGUACGGGCGGGCUUGAGUGCGGUAGGGGAGACUGGAAUUCCCGGUGUAACGGUGGAAUGUGUAGAUAUCGGGAAGAACACCAAUGGCGAAGGCAGGUCUCUGGGCCGUCACUGACGCUGAGGAGCGAAAGCGUGGGGAGCGAACAGGAUUAGAUACCCUGGUAGUCCACGCCGUAAACGGUGGAUGCUGGAUGUGGGGACCAUUCCACGGUCUCCGUGUCGGAGCCAACGCGUUAAGCAUCCCGCCUGGGGAGUACGGCCGCAAGGCUAAAACUCAAAG
RNAcentral lists this ribosomal RNA (892 nucleotides) under gut metagenome. RNAcentral describes it as "bacterial SSU rRNA". It matches the Rfam family "Bacterial small subunit ribosomal RNA", at positions 8 to 906 of the family's 1533-position model. The record is from RNAcentral.